GGGGAAUAUUGGGCAAUGGGCGCAAGCCUGACCCAGCAACGCCGCGUGAAGGAAGAAGGCUUUCGGGUUGUAAACUUCUUUUGGCAGGGACGAAGAAAGUGACGGUACCUGCAGAAUAAGCUCCGGCUAACUACGUGCCAGCAGCCGCGGUAAUACGUAGGGAGCAAGCGUUAUCCGGAUUUACUGGGUGUAAAGGGCGCGUAGGCGGGAAUGCAAGUCAGAUGUGAAAUCUGAGGGCUCAACCCUCAAACUGCAUUUGAAACUGUGUUUCUUGAGUGAUGGAGAGGCAAGUGGAAUUCCUAGUGUAGCGGUGAAAUGCGUAGAUAUUAGGAGGAACACCAGUGGCGAAGGCGACUUGCUGGACAUUAACUGACGCUGAGGCGCGAAAGCGUGGGGAGCAAACA
This 404-nucleotide ribosomal RNA is filed under the name uncultured Oscillospiraceae bacterium. RNAcentral's name for it is "bacterial SSU rRNA". It matches the Rfam family "Bacterial small subunit ribosomal RNA", at positions 356 to 774 of the family's 1533-position model. Lineage: Bacteria; Bacillati; Bacillota; Clostridia; Eubacteriales; Oscillospiraceae. The record is from RNAcentral.